GACGAACCGUGCGAACGUUGUUCGGAAUCACUGGGCUUAAAGGGCGCGUAGGCGGGCUGUCAAGUCUGGGGUGAAAUGCCGCGGCUCAACCGUGGAACUGCCUUAGAUACUGACGGCCUCGAGGAAGGUAGGGGGAGCCGGAACUCACGGUGGAGCGGUGAAAUGCGUUGAGAUCGUGAGGAACGCCCGUGCGAAAGCGGGCUCCUGGGCCCCGCCUGACGCUGAGACGCGAAAGCCAGGGGAGCGAACGGG
Molecule: ribosomal RNA, 252 nt
Filed under: uncultured bacterium
Lineage: Bacteria
Description: partial 16S ribosomal RNA
Rfam family: Bacterial small subunit ribosomal RNA
Source: RNAcentral